UACAGAGGUCCCAAGCGUUGUUCGGAUUCAUUGGGCGUAAAGGGUGCGUAGGCGGCGCGGUAAGUCGGGUGUGAAAUCUCUGAGCUUAACUCAGAAACUGCCGUGGAUACUAUUUGCCUUGAAUAUUGUGGAGGUGAGCGGAAUAUGUCAUGUAGCGGUGAAAUGCUUAGAUAUGACAUAGAACACCAAUUGCGAAGGCAGCUCACUACACAAUCAUUGACGCUGAGGCACGAAAGCGUGGGGAUCAAACAGG
This 253-nucleotide ribosomal RNA is filed under the name uncultured bacterium. Its description in RNAcentral is "partial 16S ribosomal RNA". It matches the Rfam family "Bacterial small subunit ribosomal RNA", at positions 524 to 776 of the family's 1533-position model. The record is from RNAcentral.